This 139-nucleotide non-coding RNA is filed under the name human gut metagenome. RNAcentral describes it as "glmS glucosamine-6-phosphate activated ribozyme". It matches the Rfam family "glmS glucosamine-6-phosphate activated ribozyme aptamer", at positions 9 to 157 of the family's 167-position model. Rfam says of the family: This entry contains a glucosamine-6-phosphate activated ribozyme that is found in the mRNA for GlmS. The record is from RNAcentral.
AGAAAAGCGCCAGAGCCCCACGGCGGGCUGACGAGGUGAGAGGAGUAUCGAAACAUUCGGCGGAUGCCUCUCCGCUCCGGUGCCGGAGCGCAGGAUACAGAAAAAACCUCUGGGCAACCAGACCGACAGAGCUGUACCC